This 69-nucleotide transfer RNA is filed under the name Ulva meridionalis. Its description in RNAcentral is "tRNA-Ile". Lineage: Eukaryota; Viridiplantae; Chlorophyta; Ulvophyceae; Ulvales; Ulvaceae. The record is from RNAcentral.
AUUUCUUGUAAGAGUAGACCAUAUCAUCACCCUUUAUAAGGGUGUUCGGCGUGUGGUCGUUGAGGGGUU